GCCAGGCAUGGUGGUGCAUGCCUGUAGUCCCAGCUACUUGGGAGGCUGAGGCAGGAGAAUUGCUUGAACUCAGGAGGUGGAGGUUGCAGUGAGCUGAGAUUGAGCCGCUGCACUCCAGCCUGGGUGACAGAACGAGACUCUGUCUCAA
This 148-nucleotide non-coding RNA is filed under the name Nomascus leucogenys (northern white-cheeked gibbon). Lineage: Eukaryota; Metazoa; Chordata; Mammalia; Primates; Hylobatidae. The record is from Rfam by way of RNAcentral.